AUCACAAGGUCACCAACACAAAAGACACUACUUUGUAACCAAAAGCAAAAUCAGUUUCGCACUCGCUCGGUUAAGAAAAACACAAAACAACUCCUUACCUAGGACCAAAAGCAAGCCAGAGGAAAGCUGCUUCAAGAAAACAACCAUGUUGCCCUUGAACCUUCCAGCCAGAGUGAUCAACACAGUUCCUGGGGUAAUGCUUGCCCUGCAUAGGCUUCAACGUCAGCAAAUCCCUGCUGUUCCACACUAAUACUUCCACUAACUUCUAAUCUCUUGUAAUUUACCAAAUCGAAAACCAAUUGAGAUAUAAUCUCAGACAAACUAUCAAUUAAGGGCAUUCAUGCACACUUUCUAAACAAUUCACAACAUUUCUCCACAAAUCAAACACAUAUAUUACUAAACAAACAGAGAUAUGAAUUCAUCAAUUCAUCAAUUGAACUGAAGAACAAACGAACAGAAGAGGAGGCUCACAGAGAUGAAUUCAUCAAUUCACAGAGUAAGAAAAUCGGAGAGUUUAAGAGACUAACCUGCCAAACACAACGGAGGACGACGUUCUGGGCUGUCGGUUUGGGUGGAGGAACUGGUGAGGGUGAGGGCGAGAGAGAGAGAGAGAGAGAGAGAGAGAGAGAGAGAGA
Molecule: long non-coding RNA, 635 nt
Filed under: Fragaria vesca (wild strawberry)
Lineage: Eukaryota; Viridiplantae; Streptophyta; Magnoliopsida; Rosales; Rosaceae
Description: long non-coding RNA (FVES_LNC004309)
Source: RNAcentral